This 484-nucleotide ribosomal RNA is filed under the name uncultured bacterium. RNAcentral describes it as "partial 16S ribosomal RNA". It matches the Rfam family "Bacterial small subunit ribosomal RNA", at positions 28 to 507 of the family's 1533-position model. The record is from RNAcentral.
AUUGAACGCUGGCGGCAUGCUUUACACAUGCAAGUCGAACGGCAGCGCGGGCUUCGGCCUGGCGGCGAGUGGCGAACGGGUGAGUAAUGCAUCGGAACGUGCCCAGUAGUGGGGGAUAGCCCGGCGAAAGCCGGAUUAAUACCGCAUACGACCUGAGGGUGAAAGCGGGGGACCGAAAGGCCUCGCGCUAUUGGAGCGGCCGAUGGCGGAUUAGCUAGUUGGUGGGGUAAAGGCUUACCAAGGCGACGAUCCGUAGCUGGUCUGAGAGGACGACCAGCCACACUGGGACUGAGACACGGCCCAGACUCCUACGGGAGGCAGCAGUGGGGAAUUUUGGACAAUGGGGGCAACCCUGAUCCAGCCAUGCCGCGUGCGGGAAGAAGGCCUUCGGGUUGUAAACCGCUUUUGUUCGGGAAGAAAUCCUCUGGGCUAAUACCCCGGGGGGAUGACGGUACCGGAAGAAUAAGCACCGGCUAACUACGUG